UGGAAUGUCGCCAAGUUGGUAAGGCGUUGCCUUUUGGUGGCAAUAUUUCGGAGGUUCGAGUCCUUCCAUUCCAG
RNAcentral lists this transfer RNA (74 nucleotides) under Proteromonas lacertae. Its description in RNAcentral is "tRNA-Gln". It matches the Rfam family "tRNA". Rfam says of the family: Transfer RNA (tRNA) molecules are approximately 80 nucleotides in length. The record is from RNAcentral. Lineage: Eukaryota; Bigyra; Opalinata; Proteromonadidae.